GCUGGCGGCGUGCCUAAUACAUGCAAGUAGAACGCUGAAGGAAGGAGCUUGCUCUUUCCGGAUGAGUUGCGAACGGGUGAGUAACGCGUAGGUAACCUGCCUGGUAGCGGGGGAUAACUAUUGGAAACGAUAGCUAAUACCGCAUAACAGUAGAUAUCGCAUGAUAGCUGCUUAAAAGGUGCAAUUGCACCACUACCAGAUGGACCUGCGUUGUAUUAGCUAGUUGGUGAGGUAACGGCUCACCAAGGCCACGAUACAUAGCCGACCUGAGAGGGUGAUCGGCCACACUGGGACUGAGACACGGCCCAGACUCCUACGGGAGGCAGCAGUAGGGAAUCUUCGGCAAUGGACGGAAGUCUGACCGAGCAACGCCGCGUGAGUGAAGAAGGUUUUCGGAUCGUAAAGCUCUGUUGUAAGAGAAGAACGAGUGUGAGAGUGGAAAGUUCACACUGUGACGGUAUCUUACCAGAAAGGGACGGCUAACUACGUG
This 490-nucleotide ribosomal RNA is filed under the name uncultured bacterium. RNAcentral's name for it is "bacterial SSU rRNA". It matches the Rfam family "Bacterial small subunit ribosomal RNA", at positions 35 to 507 of the family's 1533-position model. The record is from RNAcentral.